Molecule: long non-coding RNA, 1712 nt
Filed under: Homo sapiens (human)
Lineage: Eukaryota; Metazoa; Chordata; Mammalia; Primates; Hominidae
Description: HSALNT0075027
Source: RNAcentral
GCCCUAUUUGGUUUAAAUUUGAUCACACCUUUUGGGAGAGGAAUUUGCAUAUAUCUGUUUCCAAAUGGAGUAAUUUGAUAGUUACUUUUCUAUUUCAGUGAUAUAGACAUUUUUCUUAAACUAAUUAAGGAAGAUUGAUAGGCUUUGCUCAGACUUUGAAAUAAUGUUUUUACUUAUUUUAAGCAAGAGGGAGAUAAAAAUGGUUUUAAUAAAAUUAGCUUGCCUCCUAACAAUCAGGCUUUCUCUAGAAUGUACAUUUCCAUUCCCAGAGCAGGAUUCUGCUAGAGCACAGAGGCCAGAUACAUCUUUAAGGAACAUGAAUUCAGAUUCCUCUUCCCAGUGCUUGCUCAAGUGGGAUUCUAAACACUUGGGAGCAAGUGGGUACUAUGUAGAUGUGCUUGGCAUCCGUGUGGAUUAUGGAAAGCGGUCAUCUAUUUUACAGCUGCAUAAAACAGUACAUGGAUUUCAUGAUGCAGAAAAGCAGUAGUUUAUUCCUCAUUUUCCAUCAUGUAAAUUUUUACUAAAUGGACUUGCAUGAAGAGUUACCCUCCCUUUAAAACACAAAUAAAAAAUGCCAUCAUUAUUCACUUUCAUCUUUCUAAGGUUUUUCUUGCAGGAAACAAAGAAGGAGAAAAGACAGAAGAGCAUUCUUUAGAGUAAAAUUUCUAGGCUGCACUGCAACUAAUUUUAAAUGCUGCAAGAGAAAAGUUUAUAGCAGGGAUAGAGAAAGCAGGCAUAGUUUGAAAAUGAAUUUUAUGUAUUCAUUCAUUCAAAACUGAAGAGAGAAUCAAAACUGAAGAGAGAAUAAAUAUUUUUCCACCCUAUAAUCUAAUAAUCAUGUAUAAACAAUGGUAUGAUCAAAGCUUACUUAGCCCAUAAGAAAGCUUAUAUUUUCAAAUCAAUGUACAACUUCACAAAAGAAUUAGAAAAUCCUUUCCUCAUAAGCAACAAUUAGACAUAUAUGCAUUACACCAAAAAAGGAAAGCCAAUUGUCAAAUAUAUUAACUGAAAUACUUUUUUUACUUUAAUUAUCAACACUGAUUACUGUUUUGAAUUUAUUUAUUUCUGACACUAGGGUUAUUAAUAGUAGUGUGUAAAAGAAUCUGAUUUUCAGAAGUAUGUUAGAAUUUCACACUUACAUUUUCUAGCAAGAUAAAAUCCUCAGAAUACCUGUAAUCAAAAUAAGGCAUGUUUAAAAGUCUGUGACUUUGCUUAAAGUUUUUGAACUAUAUUUGGAAGAUACAUACUGCAAAUAUAAAAGCUGGACUUUUACAUACCAACAUAGUAUAUGAUCAGUGCCAAAUGGAUCCAACAACAACAACAAAAAUGUGUGGUUACAGGAUGCAGAAGACAGGGUCUACGUUUUCAAAGAUGACUUCAUAAAGAACUUGUGCUAAACCUUGAAGAGUAGAUAAGAUAUGUAACAAAUAAGACAGAGUCGUUCAAAAAAAAAGCAUGCUGGGACUUAAGCUCUACUAAAUGUUUCUCAAACUUGGAACUAUUAGCACUUAUUAUUAAUUAUUAUUAACCACUAACAAAAACUCUUUGCUGUAGGUGGCUGUUCCAUGCAUUGUGGGAUGUUUAGCUUCAUCUUGUAAUCUACCUACUUAGAAGCCAGUAGCACAACCCUUCCUUGUAGUGGAAAAAACAAUGUCUCUAAAUAUUGCCAAUGUCCCUGUGGGGAGGAGGAUGAAAAUUACCCCUGGUUGAAA